RNAcentral lists this ribosomal RNA (2888 nucleotides) under Hydrococcus sp. RU_2_2. Its description in RNAcentral is "23S ribosomal RNA". It matches the Rfam family "Bacterial large subunit ribosomal RNA". Lineage: Bacteria; Bacillati; Cyanobacteriota; Cyanophyceae; Pleurocapsales; Hydrococcaceae. The record is from RNAcentral.
AGGUCAAGCUAACAAGAGCUAACGGUGGAUACCUAGGCACGCAGAGGCGAAGAAGGACGUAGCGACCGACGAAACGCUCCGGGGAGUAGGAAGCAAGCAUUGAGCCGGAGAUCUCCGAAUGAGGAAACUCUAAUAUACGGUUCGUUGAAUACAUAGACGAACGCGAGCGAACCUGGCGAACUGAAACAUCUUAGUAGCCAGAGGAAAAGAAAGCAAAAGCGAUUCCCUAAGUAGCGGCGAGCGAAAGGGGACAAGCCUAAACCAGAUACUACGGUAACUGGGGUAGUGGGACGACCACAAGCGACUGAAGAAAUUAGACGAAGUAGCUGAAAACUACACCAGAGAAGGUAAAAGUCCUGUAGUCGAAAAUGGAAGCAGCGCGGUCGAAUCCCGAGUAGCAAGGGGCACGUGAAAUCCCUUGUGAAUCAGCGAGGACCAUCUCGUAAGGCUAAAUACUACUGCGUGACCGAUAGCGAAACAGUACCGCGAGGGAAAGGUGAAAAGAACCCCGGUAAGGGGAGUGAAAUAGAACAUGAAACCGUUAGCUUACAAGCAGUGGAAGGCUGAUUAAACGGCUGACCGCGUGCCUGUUGAAGAAUGAGCCGGCGACUUGCAGGCUGUGGCAGGUUAAGGUGAAUAAAACCGAAGCCAAAGUGAAAACGAGUCCGAAAAGGGCGAACUCGUCACAGUUUGCAGACCCGAACCCGGGCGAUCUAACCAUGGCCAGGAUGAAGCUUGGGUAAAACCAAGUGGAGGUCCGAACCGACCGAUGUUGAAAAAUCGGCGGAUGAGCUGUGGUUAGGGGUGAAAUGCCAAUCGAGCCCGGAGCUAGCUGGUUCUCCCCGAAAUGCGUUGAGGCGCAGCGGUACCAGCAAAAGCGUGGGGGUAAAGCACUGUUUCGCUGCGGGCGGCGAGAGCUGUACUAAAGCGAGACAAACUAAGAAUACCGCGUGAUAGGGUACCAGUAAGACGGUGGGGGAUAAGCUUCAUCGUCAAGAGGGAAACAGCCCAGACCACCAGCUAAGGUCCCCAAAUGGACGCUAAGUGAGAAAGGAGGUGGGAGUGCUUAGACAACCAGGAGGUUUGCCUAGAAGCAGCAAUCCUUAAAAGAGUGCGUAAUAGCUCACUGGUCAAGCGCUCCUGCGCCGAAAAUGAACGGGGCUAAGCGUCCUACCGAAGCUGUGGAAUUACUAUCGUAAUUGGUAGGGGAGCGUUCUAGAUGGGGUGAAGCACUAGCGGCAAGCAGGUGUGGACUGUCUAGAAGUGAGAAUGUCGGCUUGAGUAGCGAAAACAUUGGUGAGAAUCCAAUGCCCCGAAACCCUAAGGGUUCCUCCGCAAGGCUCGUCCGCGGAGGGUUAGUCAGGGCCUAAGGCGAGGCUGAAAAGCGUAGUCGAUGGACAACGGGUUAACAAUCCCGUACUGUUUGGUUGUUGUGAAGGGGGACGGAGAAGGCUAGACCAGCCGCAUGUUGGUUAGCGGUGCAAGUAUUCGAGGCGUUGAGGAGCGGAGAAAACGUUCCGAGCUGAGGUAUGAGUCCGAGUUCCUACGGGAACGAAGUGGUCGAUGUCAAGCUUCCCAGAAAAGCCCUAACCACGUUAAUAGCCAAAUACCUGUACCCGAAACCGACACAGGUGGGGAGGUAGAGAAUACCGAGGGGCGCGAGAUAACUCUCUCUAAGGAACUCGGCAAAAUAACCCCGUAACUUUGGGAGAAGGGGUGCCACCGCGAGGUGGUCGCAGUGAAGAGGCCCAGGCGACUGUUUACCAAAAACACAGGUCUCCGCGAAGUCGUAAGACGCAGUAUGGGGGCUGACGCCUGCCCAGUGCCGGAAGGUUAAGGAAGUUGGUCAGGGGCUUGCCCUAAAGCUGACGACUGAAGCCCCGGUGAACGGCGGCCGUAACUAUAACGGUCCUAAGGUAGCGAAAUUCCUUGUCGGGUAAGUUCCGACCCGCACGAAAGGCGUAACGAUCUGGGCACUGUCUCGGAGAGAGACUCGGCGAAAUAGGAAUGUCUGUGAAGAUACGGACUACCUGCACCUGGACAGAAAGACCCUAUGAAGCUUUACUGUAGCCUGGAAUUGGGUCCGGGCUUGGCUUGCGCAGGAUAGGUGGGAGGCGUUGAGACACUCCUUGUGGGGAGUGUGGAGCCAACGGUGAGAUACCACUCUGGCGAAGCUAGGAUUCUAACCCGUUUCCGUCAUCCGGAAAGGAGACAGUUUCAGGUGGGCAGUUUGACUGGGGCGGUCGCCUCCUAAAAGGUAACGGAGGCGCACAAAGGUUCCCUCAGCACGGUUGGAAAUCGUGCUUUGAGUGCAAAGGCAAUAAGGGAGCUUGACUGCAAGAGCGACAACUCGAGCAGGGUGGAAACACGGUCUUAGUGAUCCGACGGCGCAGCGUGGAAUGGCCGUCGCUCAACGGAUAAAAGUUACUCUAGGGAUAACAGGCUGAUCUCCCCCAAGAGUCCACAUCGACGGGGAGGUUUGGCACCUCGAUGUCGGCUCAUCGCAACCUGGGGCGGAAGUACGUCCCAAGGGUUGGGCUGUUCGCCCAUUAAAGCGGUACGUGAGCUGGGUUCAGAACGUCGUGAGACAGUUCGGUCCAUAUCCGGUGCAGGCGCAAGAGUAUUGAGAGGAGCCUUCCUUAGUACGAGAGGACCGGGAAGGACGCACCGCUGGUGUACCAGUUAUCGUGCCAACGGUAGACGCUGGGUAGCCAAGUGCGGAGUGGAUAACCGCUGAAAGCAUCUAAGUGGGAAGCCCACCUCAAGAUGAGUACUCUCAUGGAGUUAAUCCAGUAAGGUCACGGGAAGAAUACCCGUUAAUAGGUGCUAGGUGGAAGUGCAGCAAUGUAUGCAGCCGAGGCAUCCUAACAGACCGAGGGCUUGACCUU